RNAcentral lists this ribosomal RNA (122 nucleotides) under Carlito syrichta (Philippine tarsier). Lineage: Eukaryota; Metazoa; Chordata; Mammalia; Primates; Tarsiidae. The record is from RNAcentral.
GUGUAUGGCCAUACUACCCUGAACACACCUGAUCUCGUCUAAUCUCAGAAGCUAAGCAGAGUCAGGCAGGACUGGUUAGUUUGGAUGGGAAAAAACCUAGCACAGAGUUGUUGCUCAAUACA